GCCCCGAGGCCACCAACCUGGGUCUGCUGCACGGGCAGGCUGGCGCUUACAUGGACGUGGCUGGGCGCUCGUCCCAGCUUCUGGAACCAUCUGCCCCCACCCCACUGUCUGCUCAAGCCUGGUGGUCUUCUUGCUUGCUCCGACUCUUUGCACCUGGCCUGCCGUCAGAUGUCAGCUUGCUGCGGGGCCUCAGAGCUGCCCAGGCCUCGGCCACCGAGUGCCAAGCUGGGUGCCGCCUCAUGUCCUCUCCUGCUGCGGACUGCAACAGCCCUUGCCCCCAGCAUGCUUGGAGGGGUUGGGCUGGGCUGCUGCUGCCUGCCUGGACGGUGUUGGGCAGGACCAGUUCAUGGACACUAGCCAAUGUGGGACAGAGUCAUGCUCCAGCUGCGGACAGGAGCCCCGGCAGCCUGGUGUGCUUGUCCAGGGUAGGUGCUGUCCUGCUGGGCUGGCCCGAGACUGCUUUCCCUGGAGGAGGAAACCAAGCCAGGCCUCUGACUUUCUCCUGCUGCUUCCCACGCUUUCUUGCCAGAGGCGAAUGGACCUUUGGGGACAUUCUAUUCCAAAUGCUGUAUCAUGGCCACAGAGAAGUGAUGCCCUGAGGCUCUAGUUGGACCCACUCCUGCCCCACACCCUGUGGUGCCUGCUGGCUCCUUGCUCCUCGCUCCUUGCUCCAGCCCCACAGCACUCCCCUGCUUCUGCCGUCCGUGCAGCACAGGCCUGGCACUGAAGGACGCUCUGCAGGUGGGGGACAGCUGUGUCAAUCCUCUUGGUUAAGGCGAGGCAGGCAGGAGCACCGGACACAUCAUCAGAGGCCAUGAAGGUCACCCUGGGUACCUGUUGGUCUCAGCGGGGAUUGUCAACGCCCCUGAUGCCAGCCACAAGAUGGUGUGCACCCCGUGUUUACAGGUGAGGUAAGUGGCUCAUCAGAACUCCGGGUGAUUGGGGCUAGUGACGGGACUGGGGAGGGUUCAGCAGAUCACGCGGGGCACCGCCCCCCUCAGGGCCAGGAGUGGGGAUGGAGAGGUCCCACCAGCUCAGGACUUGAAGACGAGGGUCAGGCCUUAGCUUUGACCCCAAUUUCUGAAGUCUGGGGCAGGGAGCAGCUUCUGAUGUACACUGGAGAGGAGAGGCCUUUGCCUGGCAGAAAGGUGCAGGCCGGCGCCCGGGUGUGCGGGAUGGCAGGUCUUGCAGGGGUACCUGUCAGCCCCUCCAGGGCCCCUCCUGCGGGUGCUAUGACCACACAGAUGUCCACCCUGGAAGCUGUGUGCGCCUGAGUGGCUCCUGACCCCACCCCAAGCCAGAGGGCACCAUGGAGGUGUGGAGGGGCCUUCUGCUCCUCCAUGUUCUUGGCUGCAAGAUCAUCCCGCACAGAGGCCUCAGCACCUGGGGGUGUGUGCACUGUCACUGGGGGUGGGAUGCUGCCCCCUUGCCUCCAGGAACCCUCCGGACCCCACAGACCCCUGGUCCAGCCACCAGAGUGUGGGGCAGCUGUCACUACUACACCCCCUUCAGAGAGGGACACCCCUCCCCACUAGCUCAGGGCUGCCUUCCUCCCCGACCUCUAGGCAAGAGGGAACCUGGCACCCAUGCCCUUAAUGAUACUGUGCCUCGGGGCCCAUUCCCUACUGUCAUAACUAUGUUCAGGUGCAUGGAACACGUUCCCCUGGUGCAGCCGCCACCAUCCGUCCAUCUCCAGAACCUUCUCAUCUUCCCAGAGGGAAACGCCAUACCCAUUACAGUGUCUUUUCAUUUGUUGCUGGUGGUGAAGAUGAGGUUUUUCCAAAAAUUCUGAUUUCUGCGUAAACUUGGGAGCCAGCCGGGUCCGGCAGCUGUGGCUGUGGCAGAGGCAGAGUUGACCCCACAGCCCCACCACGCUGCCUGCUUACCAUGGGCUUGCCUGUGACCCACCUCUGGAUGGGCGGCCUCUCCCCCACCAACCUGGCCCUGUGUGGGGCCCAGCUGGGCGCCCUGGCCUAGGGGAUGGCCCAGGUAGGUUCCGGGGGCAGGGAUGUGCUCAGGGCACAGGGGCCAGUGGGAGAGGCCUUGGGUGCUAUGCGGACAGGGCUCCGGGGUUGGGUUGCAGGCAGAUGGAGGGGCUGGGCUAGACGCGGCACAGGAGGCACACAGUGGCAGGUCCCCUCUGUGGCCACGGAGGCUGGAGCUCCAUUUCAGGUGCCAUCGGUCCUAGCCCGUGACCCAGGACAGGUGAGGGGCUACCCAGAAUGGAGAAGUGACCAGGCCCUGCAUCUCAGCCUCCGCGAGAGGGCAGUAGGGGCAUUGAGUCUGUAGGAGGUGGCAGGCUGUGAGAGGUAGACCUGUGAGAGGGUCUCCCCUGCCCCCGAACCUGGGUCGUGUCCCCGUACAUGGUAACGGCAGGCCAGGGGUCCUCGCCAACCCCUCUUCAAAGGGGCCGGAGGCUCAUGGUUGGAGAAGGGAACAUGACCUUGAAAUGGGGGGUGGAGCUAUGCGUCCCUAAGCAGAGCAGGCAAGGGGGUGCCCUCGCCUUGAUGUCAGACAUCCUUCUUCCAGAGCUAAGGCCAAACCUGUGUGAGGUCCCUGAGCCUGUUGGUUACAGAAGCCCCAGAAACUCCUCUGUGCCGGGCUGUUGCCUUGGGCACGAGGGCUCUGGUCAUGGAGGGAUUGUCCCUGAUGGCUGUGGCUUCUUCCCUGUACUCUGUCUUGCCCAGUCCCAAGCCGGCAUGGCUCAGCCGGGGGUCGCCCAGCACCAGGACCAAGGUCCAGACUUACGUCUGCCCCACAGCCCUGGCAGAGCCUCUGUCAGUCUAGUCAGGUCCUGAGAGCCUGGGGGUGUUGAGGAGGGUGGUGUGGGAGGGGGUGGCUCCAGCAGAGCCUGUGUAGAGGUCCCAGGAUGGCAGAAGGGUGGGCUCUGACCACCCCACCCCCCUCCUACUGGCCGAUGCCUCAGAAAAGUAGGAUCCCAGUGUCCGCACUGGCCAGUGGGAGAGGGAGAGCAGGGGGGAGCUCCACGCACAGCCAGGGGCUGUUUUCCUCACUUGAGCAGAUGGGGUCCAGGGCAGCUUCUGGGUCAACUUCUAACUUCUGAUUUGGAGGUACAGUUGGGGCUUCAACAGCGCAGGGGGUCCCAGCCACACAACUUUGGACCCCCUCAAGCUACCAUACCACCUGGCUGUUGACCGAAGCCGUGUCGAUAGAGUAGCCAUUGGUGAACACGCACUUUGCGUGUCAUGUAGUACGUACUGCGUUCUCACUGUGUGGGAGGCCGGGAGACAGCACUAAGGAAUCAUAAAGAAGAAAACAUACAUUUGCACUUUCUGCUGUAUUUAUCGGAAAAAAAUUUACAUACAGGUGGACCCGCCUGCAAUUCAGACCUGUGUUUGUGGUCAGUGGUAGAGUCAGUUGUGAAGUGUCCCUGUCCCCUGGAGCCAGCCCGACAAUCACUGGGACAGCCCACAGAACUCAUUCUGAGUCCUGUUCUCCAGGCCCCACAGUGGGUGUGUGUGCGUGCGUGUGCAGCACUGUGUGAGAGUCACGGCCCUCUCUGUGCACUUGCUGCCACAAUGGGGACAUGGAACCACGGGGUCUGCCCUGGGCAUGCUGACCCCAUCCCUAAUCCUGGCAAACUCUCAUCGGCUCCCCGCCACUGCAGUCCAUGCUCCCGGAAUGCACUGUCCAUGUCUUUGUGACGUCGGGUUUUCACUUGUGUACUGGGCGGUUCACCGGAGCUCACCAAGUAUCAGUAGCUGACUCUUGUACCUGCUGGCUGCCUGACCUCGGCUGCAAACGGGCCACCCAUCACCCCAGGACCCUUGGGUGGUCUCCAGUCUGUCUACUAGAAAUAAAGUGCUAUGAGUGUUCCCGA
Long non-coding RNA from Mustela lutreola (European mink), 3841 nucleotides. RefSeq lists it as uncharacterized. The transcript is spliced from 2 exons. The record is from RefSeq and is a predicted model, not a curated record. NCBI's taxonomy places the organism in Eukaryota, Metazoa, Chordata, Mammalia, Carnivora, Mustelidae.